This 305-nucleotide ribosomal RNA is filed under the name uncultured bacterium. Its description in RNAcentral is "bacterial SSU rRNA". It matches the Rfam family "Bacterial small subunit ribosomal RNA", at positions 333 to 630 of the family's 1533-position model. The record is from RNAcentral.
UUUGGCCUACGGGAGGCAGCAGUAGGGAAUUUUCGUCAAUGGGCGCAAGCCUGAACGAGCAAUGCCGCGUGAACGAGGAAGGUCUUCGGAUCGUAAAGUUCUGUUGAAGGGGAAAAAGAGCGGAGAGAGGAAAUGGUCUCCGAUUGAUAUUACCCUUCGAGGAAGUCACGGCUAACUACGUGCCAGCAGCCGCGGUAAUACGUAGGUGGCGAGCGUUAUCCGGAAUGAUUGGGCGUAAAGCGAGUGCAGGCGGUUCAAUAAGUCUGAUGUGAAAGCCUUCGGCUCAACCGGAGAAUUGCAUCAGA